RNAcentral lists this ribosomal RNA (1064 nucleotides) under uncultured bacterium. RNAcentral's name for it is "bacterial SSU rRNA". It matches the Rfam family "Bacterial small subunit ribosomal RNA", at positions 28 to 1064 of the family's 1533-position model. The record is from RNAcentral.
ACCAGGCGAGGCGGCGGUGGAAAGACAUGCAAGUCGAGCGAGAUUUUUCGUUGUAGCAAUACGAUGGAAAGUCUACUCGGCGAACGGGUGCUUAACACGUGGGCAACCUGCCAUGAAGUGGGGGAUAGCUCGCCGAAAGGCGAAUUAAUACCGCAUGUGAUUAGAGAGGACAUCCUUUCGAAAUUAAAGUCGGGGCAACCUGACGCUUCUUGUGGGGCCCGCGGCCUAUCAGCUAGUUGGUGAGGUAACGGCUCACCAAGGCUUUGACGGGUAGCUGGUCUGAGAGGACGACCAGCCACACUGGGACUGAGACACGGCCCAGACACCUACGGGUGGCAGCAGUCGAGAAUUUUUGACAAUGGGGGAAACCCUGAUCGAGCGACGCCGCGUGGAGGAUGAAGGUCUUCGGAUUGUAAACUCCUGUCAUUUGGGAACAAGGUGCACACGUUAACUGCGUGAGUAUUGAUAGUACCAGAAGAGGAAGAGACGGCUAACUCUGUGCCAGCAGCCGCGGUAAUACAGAGGUCUCAAGCGUUGUUCGGAUUCAUUGGGCGUAAAGGGUGCGUAGGCGGCGCGGUAAGUCGGGUGUGAAAUCUCGGAGCUUAACUCCGAAACUGCAUUCGAUACUGCCGUGCUUGAGGACUGGAGAGGAGACUGGAAUUUACGGUGUAGCGGUGAAAUGCGUAGAUAUCGUAAGGAAGACCAGUGGCGAAGGCGGGUCUCUGGACAGUUCCUGACGCUGAGGCACGAAGGCCAGGGGAGCAAACAGGAUUAGAUAUCCUGGUAGUCCUAGCCGUAAACGGUGCAUGUUUGCUGUAAAAGGAAUCGACCCCUUUUGUGGCGUAGCCAACGCGAUAAACAUGCCGCCUGGGAAGUACGGUCGCAAGAUUAAAACUCAAAGAAAUUGACGGGGGCCUGCACAAGCGGUGGAGUAUGUGGCUCAAUUCGAUGCAACGCGAAGAACCUUACCUGGCCUUGACAUGUACGUAGUAGAAAGGUGAAAGCCUGACGAGCUCGCAAGAGCAGCGUACACCAGGUGCUGCAUGGCUGUCGUCAGCUUCGUG